CCUACGGGUGGCUGCAGUGGGGAAUAUUGCACAAUGGGGGAAACUCUGAUGCAGCGACGCCGCGUGAGCGAUGAAGUAUUUCGGUAUGUAAAGCUCUAUCAGCAGGGAAGAAAAUUACGGUACCUGACUAAGAAGCCCCGGCCAACUACGUGCCAGCAGCCGCGGUAAUACGUAGGGGGCAAGCGUUAUCCGGAUUUACUGGGUGUAAAGGGAGCGGAGGCGGCGGUGCAAGCCAGAUGUGAAAGCCCGGGGCUCAACCCCGGGACUGCAUUUGGAACUGUGCUGCUAGAGUGUCGGAGAGGCAGGCGGAAUUCCCAGUGUAGCGGUGAAAUGCGUAGAUAUUAGGAGGAACACCAGAGGCGAAGGCGGCCUGCUGGACGAUGACUGACGUUGAGGCUCGAAAGCGUGGGGAGCAAACAGGAUUAGAUACCCCAGUAGUC
This 440-nucleotide ribosomal RNA is filed under the name uncultured bacterium. Its description in RNAcentral is "partial 16S ribosomal RNA". It matches the Rfam family "Bacterial small subunit ribosomal RNA", at positions 338 to 795 of the family's 1533-position model. The record is from RNAcentral.